CACGGUGGAUGCCUUGGCACUAGGAGCCGAAGAAGGACGGGACUAACACCGAUAUGCUUUGGGGAGCUGUACGUAAGCGUUGAUCCAGAGAUUUCCGAAUGGGGGAACCCACUAUCUUUAGUCGGAUAGUAUCCUUACGUGAAUACAUAGCGUGAGGAAGGCAGACCCAGGGAACUGAAACAUCUAAGUACCUGGAGGAAGAGAAAGAAAAAUCGAUUUCCUGAGUAGCGGCGAGCGAAACGGAAAGAGCCCAAACCAAGAAGCUUGCUUCUUGGGGUUGUAGGACACUCUAUACGGAGUUACAAAAGAAAGUUAUAAAUGAAGCGGUCUGGAAAGGCCCGCCAAAGACGGUAACAGCCCGGUAGUUGAAAUGGCUUUCCCUCCAGAGUGGAUCCUGAGUACGGCGGAACACGUGAAAUUCCGUCGGAAUCCGGGAGGACCAUCUCCCAAGGCUAAAUACUCCCUAGUGACCGAUAGUGAACCAGUACCGUGAGGGAAAGGUGAAAAGCACCCCGGAAGGGGAGUGAAACAGUUCCUGAAACCGUGUGCCUACAAGUAGUUAGAGCCCGUUAAUGGGUGAUAGCGUGCCUUUUGUAGAAUGAACCGGCGAGUUACGAUUUGUUGCAAGGUUAAGCGGAAAAAGCGGAGCCGUAGCGAAAGCGAGUCUGAAUAGGGCGCAUAAGUAACAGGUCGUAGACCCGAAACCAGGUGAUCUACCCAUGUCCAGGAUGAAGGUAAGGUAAUACUUACUGGAGGUCCGAACCCACGCACGUUGAAAAGUGCGGGGAUGAGGUGUGGGUAGCGGAGAAAUUCCAAUCGAACUUGGAGAUAGCUGGUUCUCUCCGAAAUAGCUUUAGGGCUAGCCUCGAGGUAAAGAGUCAUGGAGGUAGAGCACUGUUUGGACUAGGGGCCCUUCUCGGGUUACCGAAUUCAGAUAAACUCCGAAUGCCAUGUACUUAUACUCGGGAGUCAGACUGCGAGUGAUAAGAUCCGUAGUCGAAAGGGAAACAGCCCAGACCACCAGUUAAGGUCCCCAAAUAUAUGUUAAGUGGAAAAGGAUGUGGGGUUGCUUAGACAACCAGGAUGUUGGCUUAGAAGCAGCCACCAUUGAAAGAGUGCGUAAUAGCUCACUGGUCGAGUGACCCCGCGCCGAAAAUGUACCGGGGCUAAACAUAUUACCGAAACUGUGGAUGAACCUCUUUAGAGGUUCGUGGUAGGAGAGCGUUCUAAGGGCGGUGAAGUCAGACCGGAAGGACUGGUGGAGCGCUUAGAAGUGAGAAUGCCGGUAUGAGUAGCGAAAGAAGGGUGAGAAUCCCUUCCACCGAAUAUCUAAGGUUUCCUGAGGAAGGCUCGUCCGCUCAGGGUUAGUCGGGACCUAAGCCGAGGCCGAUAGGCGUAGGCGAUGGACAACAGGUAGAGAUUCCUGUACCAGUGCUAAUUGUUUAACCGAUGGGGUGACACAGAAGGAUAGGGAAUCGCACGAAUGGAAAUGUGCGUCCAAGCAGUGAGUGUGAGAAGUAGGCAAAUCCGCUUCUCGCGAAGCAUGAGCUGUGAUGGGGAAGGAAAUUAAGUACGGAAGUUCCUGAUUUCACGCUGUCAAGAAAAGCCUCUAGGAAGAGUAGUACUGCCCGUACCGCAAACCGACACAGGUAGAUGAGGAGAGA
Molecule: ribosomal RNA, 1664 nt
Filed under: Listeria monocytogenes
Lineage: Bacteria; Bacillati; Bacillota; Bacilli; Caryophanales; Listeriaceae
Description: partial 23S ribosomal RNA
Rfam family: Bacterial large subunit ribosomal RNA
Source: RNAcentral